GCAUUGGUGGUGUAAUGGUCAGCAAGGUCGUCUUCCAAACGGUUAGCUCAAGUUCGAUUCUCGGCCUACGCA
RNAcentral lists this transfer RNA (72 nucleotides) under Megaselia scalaris. It matches the Rfam family "tRNA". From Rfam's summary of the family: Transfer RNA (tRNA) molecules are approximately 80 nucleotides in length. Lineage: Eukaryota; Metazoa; Arthropoda; Insecta; Diptera; Phoridae. The record is from Rfam by way of RNAcentral.